GGCCGCCACUCAUCUCCAUUCGCCCCCCACCUCUUCGGUAAGAAACAUAUAUAUCACGUCUCCAUCUCCAUUGUUUUCAGUUUCUCCUUAUUACUCGAUUGAUUAUCUCCGUAGUAGAAGUAAACAAUUUAAAAAGAAGGAUGGGCAAUAGGUCGUAAAGUACGUACAACUAAACUUCAAAACGAAUGCGAAUGUCUCCUUGGAGAGCACUUCUCACGGAAUGCAAAGGGACAAGUACUACGAGCUUUCGACGAACAUCAACAAGAUCGGCAAAAGUAAGAACGUAAUAUCGCUAUAAAGUACUAUCUUUAAAAUGACAUGUAUCAUAAAACUUUAGUUUGAAUUUGAAUCUCUGAUGUUGACAAGUAGUAAUAUUGAAAUAUAGAAUAUCGAAAUAUAA
Vespula vulgaris is the source of this 400-nucleotide long non-coding RNA. RefSeq lists it as uncharacterized. The transcript has 2 exons. The record is from RefSeq and is a predicted model, not a curated record. Lineage: Eukaryota; Metazoa; Arthropoda; Insecta; Hymenoptera; Vespidae.